Long non-coding RNA from Arabidopsis thaliana (thale cress), 841 nucleotides. RefSeq annotates it as other RNA. The transcript has 2 exons. NCBI's taxonomy places the organism in Eukaryota, Viridiplantae, Streptophyta, Magnoliopsida, Brassicales, Brassicaceae. The record is from RefSeq.
UUAAGCUUAAAGGUGGUGGAUCAGAUGCUGAAGCUCGGGUGGGAAUGAGAGAAAAGAAUCAAACCUCACUGAUACAGAAUGGCGGAAACUCACGGCAAGGAAAAUCUCAUGUUUGAAUACUCGGGGAAGUCAAAGGUGUAGCAAGCCGUGGAAAUCUUAAAAUCAGAUUGUGGACAUGUUUGUUCGUCUGUAACAUAUGUGGGUACGCAAUAUUACUGAAGUUGUUCGCUUCCGCCCUCUGCACCGCCCUGUGAACCGCUCUUCUCAAGCUCCACUCAUAACAGAACUCCAAAGUCAGCCUUAGAGCUGUUCCUAGCCCAAGCACAACUAUGACUCCAAUAAUGAUGUUCACCGGAAGCGCAGAGACCCCAAGUGUGAUAGAUAUCAACACAUCAAGCAUUAAACCACCGAUCAGAAUCGAAAAUGCAACCCAAAGCGGACUAAAGCAUCCUCUCUCACGCUCUUCUUGUCUAUAGCUAGGAUCAAUCCUCCAAACCCAAUAGUUUGUAGUUGGUUGAGUCUCAGGAGGUGUGACAUUAACAGCAACAACUUGACAGAUCUCACACUGGUUAGAGCCUUUAGUACGAAACCAAGCAUCUAUACAAGACCUGUGAGCUUUAGCAAGACCACCACGACAUUGACAACCUAGUUCAAUCAAAACCUCUUCUUUGUCUUGUAGACAAACCCUGCACUGCUCGUGCGAGCUUCCGUUUCUGGAUAAGCUAACCUCCUUUUCCGGUGGGAUCUGACCCACCAAUUCUUCCCGACUAGAAUCUCCAUUGCAGACAACGAUUGUGAGGUGGUUCGAUUCAUUGGCUGACUCGCUCUGCUUCUGGGGAGA